CAUUAAUAGCCAUGUUUACCUGUACUUGUAGUUGACUGCCAAAAAUGCUGUCGAGGCAUCUGUACAUCUUCUUUGUCGAAUUGCAUUAUAAAAGUACAUCAAGAUGAGACAUCAUAUACAUUCAUAUAAAUUUUAUUGAGCACGAAACCUUGGAGUGUAGCCAGGACAUUUCCUCGAAACUAUGGGCGGCCAUGUAGCUUCAAUAUCUUGUAAAUUACAUCACUGAACAUAGGUCAAGGUGUAUUCAGUAAACAAAGAUCUGAAGGGCUGUAUUUCCUUUAUCGAACAUACUAUGCGUUCAUCACAGUUUGUGACGGAUUACGGAUACGAACGAACUAGCACUUGUUUGGCAGGUACCCCUGGUUUGCCGAAUUGGGUCUGCGGUGGUACGGUCUCCCCGCCGUGUCGGCCAUCUUGUUUGACUGUGGGGGUCUAGAGUUCACCGCGGCCCCCUUCAAUGGCUGGUAUACGGGGACAGAGAUCGGGGCGAGAGAUUUUUGUGACGUGUCCCGCUACAACAUCACCGAGGACUCAUCAUAAAUAAAACAUCAGCCCAGAACGAGAACUUUGUUGUUCCUGUGACAUUAUGGCGCCCAACGUGGGGCUGAUGUAGGAAUGAAGACCACAGCUUGUGUGGCCGUGAAUUCAUCGUAUCCCUGUGGUAGUAAUCACAGCAGCUGCAGUCUCCGCAUGGAUGGAGCAAUUCUUUUCUCGUGCUGAGAUAUUCAGUUGGAAGUGGUAGGGCCCGUACCCCAUGGGGAAAUUAUGAUUGACAUCGCCGGCAUCAUGUGUACACUCGCGUUAUCGCGUUCGCGUUCCUAAGUUGGUUGUUGUUGUUUUAGUUUUUUUCUUUUUGUGCCAGGACAAUAACUUUCUGUUCACGGACUUCGCUGAGGUGCAAGUGACUUUAUACUUUUCAUUGUGUUUACUUGACAUUGUGAUGUCAGCAUGUGACUUUGCAUUACCUUUGCUAGAUAAUUUUGUCAGCAUGUGACAUUGUUCUAGUCGACAAAGUGAAGAUUGUGUUUGUUGCAGCCAUGGCUACUGGUGGGAAAGAGGACUGGGAAGGCUUGAAGGAGGAAGAGGGGCACAUUGGCCGUGAGGAUCUCCAGAAAAUGAUCAGGUUUAUGGAAACAUAUGGCUACCGUGUGCUUCCACCAAGUUCAACACCUCACCGGGUGGCAAGUCAUUCCUUUUCUUCUUCACCUAGUACACAUUAUGUGCAGCCACCUCGUAUUUCAACAUUUUCUGGCAGUGAUGCUAAGGGGGAAUCAUCCUUCGAGAGUUGGGUUUUUGAGGUCAAAUGCUUCCUUAGAGAUAGAGAUUAUCCCACUUCCAUCCUAACUCAGGCUGUUCGGAAAUCUCUUAAAGGGGAGGCUGGAAAAGUUGUUCUCUUACUUGGAGAAUCUGCCUCAGUUGAGGAAAUCUUGGCUAAACUGGAUAGCAUAUAUGGUGUCGUU
RNAcentral lists this unclassified non-coding RNA (1460 nucleotides) under Haliotis rufescens (red abalone). Its description in RNAcentral is "uncharacterized LOC124116743, transcript variant X2". The record is from RNAcentral. Lineage: Eukaryota; Metazoa; Mollusca; Gastropoda; Lepetellida; Haliotidae.